AGAUGUAACGGGGCUAAACCAUGCACCGAAGCUGCGGCAGCGACGCUUAUGCGUUGUUGGGUAGGGGAGCGUUCUGUAAGCCUGUGAAGGUGGCCUGUGAGGGUUGCUGGAGGUAUCAGAAGUGCGAAUGCUGACAUAAGUAACGAUAAAGCGGGUGAAAAGCCCGCUCGCCGGAAGACCAAGGGUUCCUGUCCAACGUUAAUCGGGGCAGGGUGAGUCGACCCCUAAGGCGAGGCCGAAAGGCGUAGUCGAUGGGAAACGGGUUAAUAUUCCCGUACUUGGUGUUACUGCGAAGGGGGGACGGAGAAGGCUAUGUUGGCCGGGCGACGGUUGUCCCGGUUUAAGCGUGUAGGCUGGUUUUCCAGGCAAAUCCGGAAAAUCAAGGCUGAGGCGUGACGACGAGGCACUACGGUGCUGAAGCAACAAAUGCCCUGCUUCCAGGAAAAGCCUCUAAGCAUCAGGUAACAUCAAAUCGUACCCCAAACCGACACAGGUGGUCAGGUAGAGAAUACCAAGGCGCUUGAGAGAACUCGGGUGAAGGAACUAGGCAAAAUGGUGCCGUAACUUCGGGAGAAGGCACGCUGACACGUAGGUGAAGUGAUUUACUCAUGGAGCUGAAGUCAGUCGAAGAUACCAGCUGGCUGCAACUGUUUAUUAAAAACACAGCACUGUGCAAACACGAAAGUGGACGUAUACGGUGUGACGCCUGCCCGGUGCCGGAAGGUUAAUUGAUGGGGUCAGCGCAAGCGAAGCUCCUGAUCGAAGCCCCGGUAAACGGCGGCCGUAACUAUAACGGUCCUAAGGUAGCGAAAUUCCUUGUCGGGUAAGUUCCGACCUGCACGAAUGGCGUAAUGAUGGCCAGGCUGUCUCCACCCGAGACUCAGUGAAAUUGAACUCGCUGUGAAGAUGCAGUGUACCCGCGGCAAGACGGAAAGACCCCGUGAACCUUUACUAUAGCUUGACACUGAACAUUGAGCCUUGAUGUGUAGGAUAGGUGGGAGGCUUUGAAGUGUGGACGCCAGUCUGCAUGGAGCCGACCUUGAAAUACCACCCUUUAAUGUUUGAUGUUCUAACGUGGACCCGUUACCCGGGUUGCGGACAGUGUCUGGUGGGUAGUUUGACUGGGGCGGUCUCCUCCUAAAGAGUAACGGAGGAGCACGAAGGUUGGCUAAUCCUGGUCGGACAUCAGGAGGUUAGUGCAAUGGCAUAAGCCAGCUUGACUGCGAGCGUGACGGCGCGAGCAGGUGCGAAAGCAGGUCAUAGUGAUCCGGUGGUUCUGAAUGGAAGGGCCAUCGCUCAACGGAUAAAAGGUACUCCGGGGAUAACAGGCUGAUACCGCCCAAGAGUUCAUAUCGACGGCGGUGUUUGGCACCUCGAUGUCGGCUCAUCACAUCCUGGGGCUGAAGUAGGUCCCAAGGGUAUGGCUGUUCGCCAUUUAAAGUGGUACGCGAGCUGGGUUUAGAACGUCGUGAGACAGUUCGGUCCCUAUCUGCCGUGGGCGCUGGAGAACUGAGGGGGGCUGCUCCUAGUACGAGAGGACCGGAGUGGACGCAUCACUGGUGUUCGGGUUGUCAUGCCAAUGGCACUGCCCGGUAGCUAAAUGCGGAAGAGAUAAGUGCUGAAAGCAUCUAAGCACGAAACUUGCCCCGAGAUGAGUUCUCCCUGAGACUU
This 1671-nucleotide ribosomal RNA is filed under the name Salmonella enterica subsp. enterica serovar Hadar. Its description in RNAcentral is "bacterial LSU rRNA". It matches the Rfam family "Bacterial large subunit ribosomal RNA", at positions 1168 to 2823 of the family's 2925-position model. The record is from RNAcentral. Lineage: Bacteria; Pseudomonadati; Pseudomonadota; Gammaproteobacteria; Enterobacterales; Enterobacteriaceae.